UACGUAGGUGGCAAGCGUUGUCUGGAAUUACUGGGCGUAAAGGGCGUGUAGGCGGGAAGGCAAGUCAGAUGUGAAAUCCCAGGGCUUAACUCUGGAGCUGCAUCUGAAACUGUUUUUCUUGAGUACUGGAGAGGAAAGUGGAAUUCCUAGUGUAGCGGUGAAAUGCGUAGAGAUUAGGAGGAACACCAGUGGCGAAGGCGGCUUUCUGGACAGUAACUGACGCUGAGGCGCGAAAGCGUGGGGAGCAAACAGGAUUAGAUACCCUGGUAGUCCACGCUGUAAACGAUGGAUACUAGGUGUGGGAGGUAUCGACCCCUUCCGUGCCGGAGUUAACACAAUAAGUAUCCCGCCUGGGGAGUACGGCCGCAAGGCUGAA
Molecule: ribosomal RNA, 376 nt
Filed under: uncultured bacterium
Lineage: Bacteria
Description: bacterial SSU rRNA
Rfam family: Bacterial small subunit ribosomal RNA
Source: RNAcentral